CAGAGGCCUCGAGCGUUAGGCGGAAUCACUGGGCUUAAAGCGUGUGUAGGCGGAGUUCUAAGUACCUUGUGAAAUCCCACGGCUCAACCGUGGAACUGCUUGGUAUACUGCUUCUCUUGAGGUACCUAGGGGCGAGCGGAACAAGUGGUGGAGCGGUGAAAUGCGUAGAUAUCACUUGGAACGCCAACGGUGAAAACAGCUCGCUGGGGGGUAUCCUGACGCUGAGACACGAAAGCCAGGGGAGCAAACGGGAUUAGAUACCCCGGUAGUCCUGGCCCUAAACGAUGUCCACUAGAUCGUGGCACCUCUGACGGUGUCAUGGUCGAAGCAAAAGUGCUAAGUGGACCGCCUGGGAAGUACGGUCGCAAGGCUA
This 373-nucleotide ribosomal RNA is filed under the name uncultured organism. RNAcentral's name for it is "bacterial SSU rRNA". It matches the Rfam family "Bacterial small subunit ribosomal RNA", at positions 526 to 896 of the family's 1533-position model. The record is from RNAcentral.